This 479-nucleotide ribosomal RNA is filed under the name uncultured bacterium. RNAcentral describes it as "bacterial SSU rRNA". It matches the Rfam family "Bacterial small subunit ribosomal RNA", at positions 37 to 507 of the family's 1533-position model. The record is from RNAcentral.
UAGCGACAGGCCUAACACAUGCAAGGUCAGGGGCAGCAUUUCCAGCUUGCUGGAAGAUGGCGACCGGCGCACGGGUGAGUAACGCGUAUGCAACCUACCUUAUACUGGGGGAUAGCCCAGAGAAAUCUGGAUUAAUACCGCAUAACAAUCAUGAUUCGCAUGUUUUAUGAUUUAAAACUCCGGUGGUAUAAGAUGGGCAUGCGUAGCAUUAGUUAGUUGGUAAGGUAACGGCUUACCAAGACAAUGAUGCUUAGGGGGGUCUGAGAGGAUAGUCCCCCACACUGGUACUGAGACACGGACCAGACUCCUACGGGAGGCAGCAGUGAGGAAUAUUGGUCAAUGGGCGCAAGCCUGAACCAGCCAUGUCGCGUGCAGGAUGACGGCCCUAUGGGUUGUAAACUGCUUUUUUUACAGGAAUAAUUGUUGCUACGUGUAGUGAUUUGAAUGUACUGUAUGAAUAAGGAUCGGCUAACUCCGUG